RNAcentral lists this ribosomal RNA (672 nucleotides) under uncultured bacterium. Its description in RNAcentral is "bacterial SSU rRNA". The stretch from base 1 to 543 matches the Rfam family "Bacterial small subunit ribosomal RNA", at positions 338 to 873 of the family's 1533-position model. The record is from RNAcentral.
CCUACGGGAGGCAGCAGUAAGGAAUAUUGGUCAAUGGAGGCAACUCUGAACCAGCCAUGCCGCGUGCAGGAAGACGGCCCUAUGGGUUGUAAACUGCUUUUGAACUAGAGAAAACCUUGGUACGUGUACCGAGUUGAUAGUAUAGUUAGAAUAAGCAUCGGCUAACUUCGUGCCAGCAGCCGCGGUAAGACGAAGGAUGCAAGCGUUAUCCGGAUUCAUUGGGUUUAAAGGGUGCGUAGGCGGACUGAUAAGUCAGUGGUGAAAUCUCUCAGCUUAACUGAGAAACUGCCAUUGAUACUGUUAGUCUAGAGUACAGAUGAUGUGGGCGGAAUAUGACAUGUAGUGGUGAAAUACUUAGAUAUGUCAUAGAACACCGAUUGCGAAGGCAGCUCACAAAACUGUAACUGACGCUGAGGCACGAAAGUGCGGGGAUCAAACAGGAUUAGAUACCCUGGUAGUCCGCACCGUAAACGAUGAUUACUCGUUGUUGGCGAUAUGACAGUCAGACGACCGAACGACGAAGACGAGUAAGUAAGUACCACCGUACGGGAGGUACGGACCCGGACCGGAACCGGUACGGAAACGUAACGAAACGUAAGUUAAGUUAGUUACGGACGGUUAGGAGGACGUUACGGACCGACGGGACGACCGACCGAGGGGAAGGGUAGGGAG